Long non-coding RNA from Lycium barbarum (goji berry), 1830 nucleotides. RefSeq lists it as uncharacterized. NCBI's taxonomy places the organism in Eukaryota, Viridiplantae, Streptophyta, Magnoliopsida, Solanales, Solanaceae. The transcript is spliced from 3 exons. The record is from RefSeq and is a predicted model, not a curated record.
CCCUUUCCUUUCUCAGCAAAAUCCAAACUUUGCUCAGCCAUGGCAGACCUUGCCAUAUUAUUUUCGCACAAGCUUCCUCUCAUCUCCUUGUCGUCUUCUCCACUCACUCUUUUCGUCCCUCUCAUCUCUCCACCUCCAGCAAAACCAAACCCUCCUUUAACCUUAUACAGGCUUAUCUAACCAUUUCUAUACAGAAAUCGUCUCCAUCGUUCUGUCGUUCUGAACAAAAGAGAAUUUCCCCUUUCUACCAUUUUGCUUUGGUCUUUCGAUGGCAACAGGUUUGUUGUGCCAUUUGGGCGAAAAACGGCCACCCACAAAUCUCUGCUAUGUUAUUCCAAUCUGUGACCCCUUUUUGGAUUUUUGUUGAAUUUGAAUUUUGAAUACCCAAAACCCUAGCCUUGGUCCCCUAUAUAUAUCAUCUUAUGCCUCAGCCGAAAAAGGAGACGGACGAUACAGACCCUUGCCCUCUAUCCAUUUACAAUUUCUCAAUCGAUUUAUCCCACAAAAAGACUAAAACUUUAGCUGGCUAGAACUUUCAAUAUUUCGUUCGAACUCAUUCGGCUUGAGAUUCGGAUCUACUCGUAACGAGAGGGUAGAUUCGAGACCCGACGCCCCAUUUCACUGUACACAAAACAGAUUUUGGACGAAAUUUGGAUUGACGCCAAGCGAGCAUAAGGCGCCAUCGAGGUACAGGCGCACUUGGUGAUACGCCGCCAGUCUAGGGCUCGGAUUCUGCUAUUCUGAAGAGCUCCUUCGAUCCGGAGCAAAUACUUUUGGUAUAUAUCUUCUGUUAUCUGUAGACUCUGUAUGUAUGGUAUUUUGGGGUACGGCGGGGCCCUGUCCCGUCAUAUGAUUCGGUAUGUCUGUAGAGGCCUGUAGAUAGAUGUGUGGGUUACGGGUUUCGUCUGUAUGUUAGCCUUAUCGGCUUAUCUGUAAAUGUCUGCAUGUUCAGGUAUAUACAUAUAUAUGUUUGCGCGCGUGCCGUAUCUGUAUCGGCCUACUUCUGUAACAGCUGUUUUAAAAAAAAAAAAAUCUGUAUGAUACGAAAUUCGGUCAGGUAGGUAUGUACGGGUACCCAGUUAGGGUACCAGUCGCGGCCCACGGGGUUGGGUCUUGACAUAUACACCUCAUGAGUGUGUAUAUAUAAGGUAUACUUAAGAUAUGCAUAGAAUAUAUACAAUCUGCUGGUUUGUUUGAGUUUAUAUUUCAUAUGUUUAAUAUAAUUCAUUGAUCGUAUACUAAUCUUUUCUUUCAUUUUUUUGCAUGAACCUCGCAUACGAGUCUUGGACUCGUCAUCUCCCGCAUUCGGUGUUGGGCCAUAGCCCAACGUGAUCUUCCCCUCUCUUGUCUAGCCUGCCCACAACAACAAAAUAAAAAAGGGACUUUCUGGGCCAAAGCCCAAUAACAAAAUAGGCUGCAGCAGCAGUCCUAAAAAAUGGACUGAUCAAUUUGCUCUUCUUUCCUUCUAUCUUAUCUUUUGUUGUGUAUUUUUUAUUUACCUUGUGUGACUAACACUUUAUUUUUGCCUCUUAGCUUAUACGAAUUAUAGAGAAUUAGUACGGGUAGUUGUAGAAACAAUAAGUAGUCAUCUUAAGGGAAAACUAUUAGUAAUUCCACCGGAUUUGUUUUUUUUUUUAAUUUAUUUUGUCUAUUUCUAAAAUUGUUUAUAGUACUUAUAGUAUUCACUUAUAUUACACAAUUGAUCUUCAAAGACGUGAAAUCGUGAACAUCUAUUUUGAAUUAAGAGUACGUCCUAUUCUUAUUAUCUUAGAAAAUUUUGAAAUAUCACUAAGACGUAAGUACGAACUCACGUAUACUUUAUCAACAACU